AAAUUGAAGAGUUUGAUCAUGGCUCAGAUUGAACGCUGGCGGCAGGCCUAACACAUGCAAGUCGAACGGUAACAGGAAGCAGCUUGCUGUUUCGCUGACGAGUGGCGGACGGGUGAGUAAUGUCUGGGAAACUGCCUGAUGGAGGGGGAUAACUACUGGAAACGGUGGCUAAUACCGCAUAACGUCGCAAG
This 191-nucleotide ribosomal RNA is filed under the name Salmonella enterica. RNAcentral describes it as "partial 16S ribosomal RNA". It matches the Rfam family "Bacterial small subunit ribosomal RNA", at positions 1 to 185 of the family's 1533-position model. Lineage: Bacteria; Pseudomonadati; Pseudomonadota; Gammaproteobacteria; Enterobacterales; Enterobacteriaceae. The record is from RNAcentral.